CCGCCACCGGUUUCAUCCCCCUCUCUCACUCACCGAUUGAACGGCGGCACAUUGCCUAUCGGCAAAAUCACUCCCCGCGGCACUCCCCGAUUUACGCCCCGUAUACCCUUAGCAUGUUAUUUGACUUUCCAUUUACAUCUGAGUCAUUAAGUAUGCAGCCAUGGCGGAUUUGUCCUCUUUGUUUGAAGAUGAGUGCUAUGCGUGUCAACCAAUGAAUUCAUGAACUGGUUGCAUUCUUGGACUUAACAACAUCUAUGUACAUGCCAAUCGGUUUCUCUAUGCAUUACUUUCAUAAUGGAACUAAUAAGAUGAUAGGAAAAUUGUUGUGAAGAAGCUUUCAGAGACAUCAAAAUAAGGGAAUAGAGAAUUUACAAACUGCAGGCUGAGGCGGCGUCUUCGUCUUCCACCGAAAUGGCAGUGGUGAAGGAAUCUGGUGGAUGUGAGUCGUAAGAACAAAGAACAGGAGGUUUGAUGAGGAGGUUCGAUCAUCCGAUCCAUAGUUCCCAUAGUCUUGGUACUAAGAAGAAUAUAGAAUGGCAAGAUAAGUUGGCUGUUGUAUAUUGAAGUUGCGACAAAGCUGCUCGAGGACAAUGUUGGGGCGCAAGUAAUGAAGUUGGCUGUUGUAUAUUGAGGUUGCGACAAAGCUGCUCGAGGACAAUGUUGCAGCGCCGGAAGACCCAUUGUUUUCAUGUUAAGAAAGACUUUCUUGUGAAUUGACACAUGUAGAGGUUGACUCUAAAGAGUAUUAAAUGGUUGCGUUCUAUGCUAUGGAAGUAUAAUCAAUUCGGUCAUAACUUGCAAAUCUAUAGGAACGAGAAGCUCACCUGAAAGCUCGCCGAAACUAAGGGACAUGCCUA
This 857-nucleotide long non-coding RNA is filed under the name Helianthus annuus (common sunflower). The record is from RNAcentral. Lineage: Eukaryota; Viridiplantae; Streptophyta; Magnoliopsida; Asterales; Asteraceae.